Molecule: ribosomal RNA, 643 nt
Filed under: uncultured marine bacterium
Lineage: Bacteria
Description: bacterial SSU rRNA
Rfam family: Bacterial small subunit ribosomal RNA
Source: RNAcentral
CGCGGCCUAUCAGCUUGUUGGUGGGGUAAUGGCCUACCAAGGCUUCGACGGGUAGCCGGCCUGAGAGGGUGACCGGCCACACUGGGACUGAGACACGGCCCAGACUCCUACGGGAGGCAGCAGUGGGGAAUAUUGGACAAUGGGCGGAAGCCUGAUCCAGCAACGCCGCGUGAGGGAUGACGGCCUUCGGGUUGUAAACCUCUUUCAGCACAGACGAAGCGCAAGUGACGGUAUGUGCAGAAGAAGGACCGGCCAACUACGUGCCAGCAGCCGCGGUAAUACGUAGGGUCCGAGCGUUGUCCGGAAUUAUUGGGCGUAAAGGGCUCGUAGGCGGUUUGUCGCGUCGGGAGUGAAAACACCGGGCUUAACUCGGUGCUUGCUUUCGAUACGGGCAGACUAGAGGCAUUCAGGGGAGAACGGAAUUCCUGGUGUAGCGGUGAAAUGCUCAGAUAUCAGGAGGAACACCGGUGGCGAAGGCGGUUCUCUGGGAAUGUCCUGACGCUGAGGAGCGAAAGUGUGGGGAGCGAACAGGAUUAGAUACCCUGGUAGUCCACACCGUAAACGUUGGGCGCUAGGUGUGGGAUCCAUUCCACGGGUUCCGUGCCGCAGCUAACGCAUUAAGCGCCCCGCCUGGGGAGUACGG